AACGAGGCCGACCUGCGGCUGAGUUACCUGCGGAAGGAUCAUUACAAGUGACCCCCGGCUCCGGCCGGGGAUGUUCAUAACCCUUUGUUGUCCGACUCUGUUGCCUCCGGGGCGACCCUGCCUUUUCACGGGCGGGGGCCCCGGGUGGACAAAUCAAAACUCUUGCGUAACUUUGCAGUCUGAGUAAAUUUAAUUAAUAAAUUAAAACUUUCAACAAUGGAUCUCAGAUCGGAAGAGCAC
This 240-nucleotide unclassified non-coding RNA is filed under the name soil metagenome. RNAcentral describes it as "partial contains 5.8S ribosomal RNA, internal transcribed spacer 2, and large subunit ribosomal RNA". The record is from RNAcentral.